GAUGUGAUUUCUGCCCAGUACUCUGAAUGUCAAAGUGAAGAAGUUCAAUGAAGUGCAGGUAAAUGGCAGGAGUAACUAUGACUUUCUUAAGGUAGUCAAAUGCCUGGUCAUCUAAUUAGUAAUGCACAUGAAUGGAUGAAGGAGAUUCCCACUGUCCCUACCUACUAUCCAGAGAAACCACAGACAAGGGAAUGGGUUUGGC
Molecule: ribosomal RNA, 202 nt
Filed under: Ailuropoda melanoleuca (giant panda)
Lineage: Eukaryota; Metazoa; Chordata; Mammalia; Carnivora; Ursidae
Description: 28S ribosomal RNA
Rfam family: Eukaryotic large subunit ribosomal RNA
Source: RNAcentral